CCCUGUAAGAACAGAGGUACCCAAAAAUCUGAGACCAGAGAGAUAAACAACAGCACAAAAAAAUCCAUGGAAACACGAGCCUCCCAGAAGAUGAAGCAGAAUAGCGAGUUGAAGGAGAGAAACAGCCGACGCAGAGUCAGUGAUGUGCCAGACGAAUUACUCCGCCACAUAUUCUCUCUCCUCCCAUUCAAAUCCAUCGUCCAAACCAGCGUCCUAUCCAAACACUGGAACCACCUAUCCUUAUGGCGCUCCCACCCUCAUCUCGAUUUCUCCCAUCCCUCUCUCGAUUCCACAGCUAUGGAUUUCAUACCCUCGGUGUUGUCUCGCCGCCAACCCGACUCCAAUAUCAUCACCUUCUGCCUCUCCGGUCCUGUAAGUUCCUCUUGCUUGCUCGAUUGCGUCGAACUAGUCAUGGAGCAGGGUAUCGAAGAUCUCGAACUAGACGUUCAUUUAGACUGUGUCGUUGAUCUCCCGCCUAGUUUGUUUAGUUGCAACACGCUUAGGGUUCUCACGUUGAAUCACCAUACCCUAAUCUUCGGGCUAGUUGUCCAGUGAUUUUGGCUGUAAAGGUCUUGUAUACCAGGGCAAGCCUUCCGUCAGUCCACACCUUGUGUCUUACUAAUAUAUGGCUCAAUGCUAGUUCGGAUGUGUUUUCGGGUAGUAAUUUCCCUCUCCUUAGGAAACUGUGCUUGAAGGGUAGUGUAGGAAUGUCUGCUCUCAAUAUCAACUGCCCGGGCCUUGAAAUUUUAGAACUCGAGGGUAGCCUAAAUACUUUGGAUAUUUCUUGCAUUGGGUUACUGGAAUUACAAGUCACAGGGUACUCCCCAUACAUGAAUAGCGUGGCCAAGAUUUUUGCCCCAAGUCUGCGGAGAUUCUACUGGGAUAAGUCUGACAUUUUUCGUGUGCAAUGUAUGACGGAGAGCUUUGAAUACCUCGAUACAAGAAAAUUUUAUUUGCUCCGCUACUGAAAACCACAAAGUCCAGCGGAAUUGCAGAGGGCAGCGACCUUUAUAUCUGCACUCUGUUUUGUCCGAUCUCUGUCCGUCGGAAGGCCAGUUCUCGAGAUUUUGUCAAACAUAGAUUCUGAAAGUGGUCUUCCAUGUUCUUUCAAUAAUCUCGUGACCUUGGAGCUCCAUACUGAGUUAACCAAAGAUCAAGUCACAGGGAUAAUAUGCUUUCUUAGAAGCUCUCCAAUACUCCACACCAUCACCAUAGGUGUAAAUUGUUCCAAGAAUGCACCAGAGAGUUGCAAUGACGAGCGGUAUUGGAGAUCUCAGAGUCGAAAUCUCAAGUCAAUCGAGCAUAUAACCUGAAGGUUGCAAGGAUUGAUAUCCGAGGAACUAAGAUGUUUUUGCUUAGGCAUGAAACAACAUUGCAAGAAAUGACCCUGUCUUUAAAGAGCGACCCUGCGGAUCCUCCUCUUGUUCGACAAACAUUUUGUUCCUAGAUAACGAAGUUUGCACAGCUAUAUUCUAAUGUUAUAAUCUCUUUUCUUCCACAAGACCAGAGCCCCAUAGCAGAGGAGCUUUAGUAGAACUUGUUUGGCAUAUUCUCAUAAGAUAGAUGCUCCUUUUACUUUGUUGCUUUGUUUUCAAUUAAAGCAGACAUUUGUUUGUUUUCUCUUCCGAAUUGAAAAGGCCCCAUAAGUAGUUGUAAGUU
Long non-coding RNA from Rhododendron vialii, 1659 nucleotides. RefSeq lists it as uncharacterized. The record is from RefSeq and is a predicted model, not a curated record. Lineage: Eukaryota; Viridiplantae; Streptophyta; Magnoliopsida; Ericales; Ericaceae. The transcript has 4 exons.